Molecule: ribosomal RNA, 78 nt
Filed under: uncultured soil eukaryote
Lineage: Eukaryota
Description: partial 5.8S ribosomal RNA
Rfam family: 5.8S ribosomal RNA
About the family: 5.8S ribosomal RNA (5.8S rRNA) is a component of the large subunit of the eukaryotic ribosome. It is transcribed by RNA polymerase I as part of the 45S precursor that also contains 18S and 28S rRNA.
Source: RNAcentral
UAUCCGUGAAUCAUCGAAUCUUUGAACGCACAUUGCGCCCUCUGGUAUUCCGGAGGGCAUGCCUGUUCGAGUGUCGUU